AUGACUGUAUCAUUUAUUGGAAUGAGUAUGAAGACCGAACAGUGUCGAAAGUGCGAGGAACCCCGAUUAAAGCAGGGAAAGCAAACUCCUCAUAAGGUUGUAUUGUACUUUCCUAUCAUUCCUUGUUUGCAGUGUCUAUAUGCCAACAAGAAAGACGCGGAGCACUUGCGUUGCCACAAAGAUAGGAAGCUGGUGGGUAAAGACGACGACGUGUUGAGGCACACUGCAAAUGGUUUGCCAAUGGAAAGCACUCAACUAUUGAUACCCGGAAUUCACAUCAGAAGCAAGGAACAUCGUGUUGGGUGUGAGUACGGAUGGAAUUAA
This 324-nucleotide ribosomal RNA is filed under the name Triticum aestivum (bread wheat). RNAcentral describes it as "partial small subunit ribosomal RNA". Lineage: Eukaryota; Viridiplantae; Streptophyta; Magnoliopsida; Poales; Poaceae. The record is from RNAcentral.